AUUGAACGCUGGCGGCAGGCCUAACACAUGCAAGUCGAGCGGAUGAAGGGAGCUUGCUCCUGGAUUCAGCGGCGGACGGGUGAGUAAUGCCUAGGAAUCUGCCUGGUAGUGGGGGAUAACGUCCGGAAACGGGCGCUAAUACCGCAUACGUCCUGAGGGAGAAAGUGGGGGAUCUUCGGACCUCACGCUAUCAGAUGAGCCUAGGUCGGAUUAGCUAGUUGGUGGGGUAAAGGCCUACCAAGGCGACGAUCCGUAACUGGUCUGAGAGGAUGAUCAGUCAACCGGGGAAGGAGACCGGGGACAAGACGCCUGAGGGAGGGAGCAGGGGGAAAUGUGGGAAAGUGGGGGAAAAUUUGACCCAGCGGGGGGGGGUGUGGAAAGAGGGUCUCGGGAUUUUAAAGAAUUUUAAGGGGGGGGAAAGGGAAUUAAGUAAAGACUUUGGUUUUUUGACGUUACAAACAAAAAAAGCCCGGGCUAAUUUCGUG
RNAcentral lists this ribosomal RNA (485 nucleotides) under uncultured bacterium. RNAcentral describes it as "partial 16S ribosomal RNA". It matches the Rfam family "Bacterial small subunit ribosomal RNA", at positions 29 to 507 of the family's 1533-position model. The record is from RNAcentral.